Molecule: long non-coding RNA, 292 nt
Filed under: Elaeis guineensis (African oil palm)
Lineage: Eukaryota; Viridiplantae; Streptophyta; Magnoliopsida; Arecales; Arecaceae
Description: long non-coding RNA (EGUI_LNC080907)
Source: RNAcentral
AGCUUCUUUUGCAUCAUGAGGAAGAACCCCAUCUUUGAGGUAUGCAACCAGUGGGUCAAUCCAGCUGGGUUCAUGGCUGAUCUCCAUUACAAGCUGUGGUUCUUCCGUACUUGGAUAUUUCAGAACUUCGAAGAGGACUUCCUUGGGUAGUUUAGCCGGAGCCAGUGUAGCCAACUUGGAGAGAAGAUCGGCCCUGGUAUUUUCUGCUCUUGGAAUCUGCUUGAUGUCAAAGCUGCCAAAGGCAGGGAUGAUCUCUUUUACUUUUUCGAGAUACUUGGCCAUACUGUCCUCC